Thunnus maccoyii (southern bluefin tuna) is the source of this 743-nucleotide long non-coding RNA. RefSeq lists it as uncharacterized. NCBI's taxonomy places the organism in Eukaryota, Metazoa, Chordata, Actinopteri, Scombriformes, Scombridae. The record is from RefSeq and is a predicted model, not a curated record. The transcript is spliced from 5 exons.
AUAGUACUGAAUGGGCGCCGUUUUCAGUCCGGUAUCCAGCUCUUACAAUACAUCCAUACCGCGCACACAUUUCCACGCUUGUGUUAAUUAAAAAGUAACGGCGUCGAAAGUCAACUAAAUAAAACAAAUAAAACAUUAAUUUUACAGCCAAAACAACCGACUAGUGGCGGCCCUUUCGAAAGGCUAAGCCUGUGUGUAAAAACCAGAGCUUGCAAGCAGUUCUGCAGUAAUGGCAACACGAGGAAGACUUCUGGAGGAUGGCUCUAAAUUUGUUUAAGAGAAGAGGCCUGGGAGACUCGUAACUUCGUCACUCUACAGAUCUGUGAGCUUGGUUUGGCAAACAAUCAUGGAUGAAGUGGUGAAAAACUGCAACCAAACGACAGACGACAAGGAACCGGGACCUAAGUGCUCAAGCUGAAUGCAGCCGCAAAAGUUACAGGUAUCCUGUACCAGUAUGCCCAGGAGAAGUACUGGUUUACCACAUGUAAGAAGCCGUGGGCCAGGAAAUGGAAGGCUGUCAUGCAGCACAUCGAUGCCUGUCCUUUAACUCCUCUGUACAACAACCAUUUUGUGAAUAUGACAUCUUCAGAAAAAAAAUCCUCUGCAAAUGUGGAUAUCCUAAGCAGGUCUCAACAAGGUGAGUCACAUCUACCUGACAUGUGACGCACAUUUCCUGAUUUGGACAUCACUCCAAGAGUUGGGGGUGUUCCCCAGAGAUAAAGCUGAGCUACUGACGCACAAGG